RNAcentral lists this ribosomal RNA (278 nucleotides) under Segatella copri DSM 18205. RNAcentral's name for it is "Prevotella copri DSM 18205 partial 16S ribosomal RNA". It matches the Rfam family "Bacterial small subunit ribosomal RNA", at positions 499 to 776 of the family's 1533-position model. Lineage: Bacteria; Pseudomonadati; Bacteroidota; Bacteroidia; Bacteroidales; Prevotellaceae. The record is from RNAcentral.
UAGGAUGUGCCAGCCGCCGCGGUAAUACGGAAGGUCCGGGCGUUAUCCGGAUUUAUUGGGUUUAAAGGGAGCGUAGGCCGGAGAUUAAGCGUGUUGUGAAAUGUAGACGCUCAACGUCUGCACUGCAGCGCGAACUGGUUUCCUUGAGUACGCACAAAGUGGGCGGAAUUCGUGGUGUAGCGGUGAAAUGCUUAGAUAUCACGAAGAACUCCGAUUGCGAAGGCAGCUCACUGGAGCGCAACUGACGCUGAAGCUCGAAAGUGCGGGUAUCGAACAGG